UACGAAGGGGGCUAGCGUUGCUCGGAAUUACUGGGCGUAAAGCGCACGUAGGCGGUCUUUUAAGUCAGGGGUGAAAUCCUGGAGCUCAACUCCAGAACUGCCUUUGAUACUGAGAGCUUGAGUCCGGGAGAGGUGAGUGGAACUGCGAGUGUAGAGGUGAAAUUCGUAGAUAUUCGCAAGAACACCAGUGGCGAAGGCGGCUCACUGGCCCGGUACUGACGCUGAGGUGCGAAAGCGUGGGGAGCAAACGGG
RNAcentral lists this ribosomal RNA (252 nucleotides) under uncultured bacterium. Its description in RNAcentral is "partial 16S ribosomal RNA". It matches the Rfam family "Bacterial small subunit ribosomal RNA", at positions 524 to 776 of the family's 1533-position model. The record is from RNAcentral.